Molecule: long non-coding RNA, 851 nt
Organism: Pseudopipra pipra
Lineage: Eukaryota; Metazoa; Chordata; Aves; Passeriformes; Pipridae
Exons: 2
Source: RefSeq, a predicted model, not a curated record
AAUCAACACUCGCCAAGGGCGGGGGCGGGGCCGCCUGCGCACGCGGAAGGCCUCACGAGCCCCUUGGUCUCUGAAGACGUUGAUGGACGUAAGAAUGACCCAAUAGAAGCUCAGCCUCCCGCCCGUGCGUGGAGCCAAUUGGCCACCCCGCCCAGAGAGAGGAGGCGCGUUGCCAUGGGGACGAGCGGGCGCCGCUGGACAGGCCGAGGACCCCCCGGGCCCCGCGCCAGACCCGGCUCGGCCCGGCCCGGCCCGCUGUGCGUUCGGCAUCUCCGGACCCCACCAGCGGUGCUGCUCCCGGCCAACCCCGCAGAGAGCGAGGCUCCUGUCCUCUGUCACGCAGAGAAGCCACUCGGUGAUUACACAAUGGUUUGGGGGGCUCGGGUCGAAUAUCACUGCCCUGCGCUGUCCCUCAGCGCAGCCCCAGGCCCUGCUUCCAUCGCCUCGCGUUCCAGUCACAGCUGUAACCCCGACAAAGCCAUCGAAGCUAGACCCUGAUUUAUGUGUGUUACAAGCCGCUGAAGGAAUUGCUGCUGCCUCUGAGGCACACACACAGACCUGAUUUGACACAGAGGAAGCCUCCAAACCCAGGAGAUGCUGGAGAUGGUUUGCUCUCCCAUGAUGGAGUUCAGCUUGUCCAGGCCCUGCUCACAGUGAUAGAUCUGGGAAACAGUGCGAGGCAAAGCUCCAGGCUGUGAUCUCCAGGAGGAAAACAGCACUGGAAAUUCACUUCUCCCUUCUUGAAACUGGAGUGUGACCGCAGAGCGGGAGAAUGCUUGGAACUUAGUCUGCUGUUUGGAGAGGAUUGAAGUAAAACAAAUAUUUUUGUAAUAAAAAUUUAAUAUCCUUUU